This 85-nucleotide transfer RNA is filed under the name Pelagibacterium luteolum. RNAcentral's name for it is "tRNA_Tyr_GTA". It matches the Rfam family "tRNA". From Rfam's summary of the family: Transfer RNA (tRNA) molecules are approximately 80 nucleotides in length. Their secondary structure includes four short double-helical elements and three loops (D, anti-codon, and T loops). The record is from RNAcentral. RNAcentral also lists the same sequence under 12 other names. Lineage: Bacteria; Pseudomonadati; Pseudomonadota; Alphaproteobacteria; Hyphomicrobiales; Devosiaceae.
GGAGGGGUGGGAGAGUGGUUAAAUCCAUCAGACUGUAAAUCUGACCGCUUAGCGUACGCUGGUUCGAAUCCAGCCCCCUCCACCA